RNAcentral lists this transfer RNA (82 nucleotides) under Parcubacteria group bacterium CG10_big_fil_rev_8_21_14_0_10_36_14. Its description in RNAcentral is "tRNA-Leu". It matches the Rfam family "tRNA". Rfam says of the family: Transfer RNA (tRNA) molecules are approximately 80 nucleotides in length. Their secondary structure includes four short double-helical elements and three loops (D, anti-codon, and T loops). Further hydrogen bonds mediate the characteristic L-shaped molecular structure. tRNAs have two regions of fundamental functional importance: the anti-codon, which is responsible for specific mRNA codon recognition, and the 3' end, to which the tRNAs corresponding amino acid is attached (by aminoacyl-tRNA synthetases). tRNAs cope with the degeneracy of the genetic code in two manners: having more than one tRNA (with a specific anti-codon) for a particular amino acid; and 'wobble' base-pairing, i.e. permitting non-standard base-pairing at the 3rd anti-codon position. The record is from RNAcentral.
GCCUGAGUGGUGAAACUGGUAUACACGCAUGAUUCAGGUUCAUGUGCCGUAAGGCGUGAGGGUUCGACUCCCUCCUCAGGCA